Molecule: transfer RNA, 77 nt
Filed under: Bacillota bacterium
Lineage: Bacteria; Bacillati; Bacillota
Description: tRNA-Arg
Rfam family: tRNA
About the family: Transfer RNA (tRNA) molecules are approximately 80 nucleotides in length. Their secondary structure includes four short double-helical elements and three loops (D, anti-codon, and T loops). Further hydrogen bonds mediate the characteristic L-shaped molecular structure. tRNAs have two regions of fundamental functional importance: the anti-codon, which is responsible for specific mRNA codon recognition, and the 3' end, to which the tRNAs corresponding amino acid is attached (by aminoacyl-tRNA synthetases). tRNAs cope with the degeneracy of the genetic code in two manners: having more than one tRNA (with a specific anti-codon) for a particular amino acid; and 'wobble' base-pairing, i.e. permitting non-standard base-pairing at the 3rd anti-codon position.
Source: RNAcentral
GCGCCUGUAGCUCAGCUGGACAGAGCGGCUGGCUUCUACCCAGAUGGUCGGGGGUUCGAAUCCUCCCAGGCGCGCCA